RNAcentral lists this long non-coding RNA (6872 nucleotides) under Eutrema salsugineum. RNAcentral describes it as "long non-coding RNA (ESAL_LNC001992)". The record is from RNAcentral. Lineage: Eukaryota; Viridiplantae; Streptophyta; Magnoliopsida; Brassicales; Brassicaceae.
UUCAGUAUCUACUAGAUCCUCUCUUCCUCUAGAGUGCUGACUGGCAUCUUCAGAAUCAGACGUCGAGGGGGAUUCAGUGCUUCCGUUAUUUGAAGCUGUAUUGCUAUCUCCUUCACUGAUACAUGAAGAGCAAUUAUCUGAACUGGAGGUUCUACUCAUCAUAAGAUCUUUAGAGUACAGGUCAUCGUUCUUCAGUUUUAUGUCAACUUCCAUCUUCUUCCCUUCCUUUAUUGAAUUUUUACAGAAGUCAGAGUCCUUGCUGCUGUCAUUGACGAUGACAUUACCCAACAUUUCUGUAGCCUUACAUCGAGACAGUGUAUCAGCUGACUUCGCAGCAGAGUUAAGAUCUUCAAACUCCUCAGCCUUCAAUGUUAAACAUGUUGAUUUGUCAGAAUUUGAGCUGAGUCCUGGAUGCUUCAGCUCCACGGAGUCUAACACCUUUCUCACAUUUACUGGCUCCAUCAUAGAAGGAUUUUGACUGAUGGUCACUUUGCUUCUAGGUCUAUAAUCUGUUUCAGAAUUCCUAUUGGCUCGGUUAACUGGCUUGGAGACAUCCAGAUCAGGGUUUGAUUUGAAUAUGGAUUUAGGUUCUCGCAUGCCUCUGUUAGAUUCUACCUUUUCCCAGUAUCCAUUAAUGGGUUUGCAACUGCAAGAGUGGUAAUCAUACCUCUCACUAAUCCUGUUCUCUGAACAUUGAGACCCCUCAUGUGUCUUAAUGCUAUUUGGGCUACCCCCAGCCUUUACUCUUAAAUUUUUCUUCGACCCGUUCAAAUGCCUUGAAGACAUAUCAAAUCUAUCAUUACAGUAUCUUGCCUCAGCCCUACUGACAAAAGAAGUAUUCUCCGAAUAUCUGCGUUUAUCUGACCGCCUCAAUGCAUAAUCAGGUUGAGGUUCUUUCCAGAAUCUUGCUGUCUGAUGAACAGGUCUGCAAUUAUCAUUUGUGAAGCACCCGUUUCCAUCUUCAUGAUCUAUAACCUCUCUUUCAGUGGUAUCACAAAAGUAGGUUUCCGCUCUUGGGGAAGUGCAACCAUCCAAACACUCUCCAUCUAGAUCAUCAGGAGAACCAGGAGGAGACAAAUCUAAAUCUCCACUUUCAAUUCCAGACUCCUCGCAGCUUAUAGUAUUGUUCAUUUCCUGAUCAAGAUUCAAGGAGCCUUUUUCUUCCCUUGAUAAAUUUGGCAACAUCGCUUUAUCACUAAAUAUUGGAUUCUUCUGCUCCUUUUCUAGUUCUUUUUCCUUCAACCUCUCCUUUCUACGAAGUUUUUUCUCCCUUUCUUUUGUUCUUUUCCUUUCUUUUCGCUCCUCUUCUUCACGCUUUUCUUUCUCUUCUUCCUCCAGAAGUUUCUUCUGCAAGUAUUAAGACAACGGAGUUGUUGGACAAAAUAAGUGUAAUAUAUCUUGUUAACAAAAAAAAAAAAAAAUCCAAUCAAGAUAGCAAACAAAACCUGCUUCUCCAAGGUGACAAUUUCCUUGCAGGCAAUAUGAAUACGUUGCUCUAAUAGUUUCGAUGAAAGGCAGACAAAUAUACUGUGAGCAUUUUGACGGGCUGUACCUUCUCUAAAUGCCUUUUCAACCUGAGAUAUUAUUAUGAAUAGAUAGCAAUGAAUACACCUAAACACAACACAAAAUAAAAAUUCCUGGAUACGAACUUAGAGGAUUCUAUAACAAACCUGCUCCUUGAAAAUAACCGCUGCAGCAUCUAGAAGAAACUCUCGCGCAAGUUCUGGACUCUUAGCGUGCUUUUGUGGACGCAGGCACUCACCAUCAAGCUCAUUCCCAUCUUUGUCUACCAUGAUUUCAUCCUUAAAUAGCAUCGGCAACAAAAUAAAGAUAUUUUAACAAGGAUAUAUCAUAUCUGCAAAAGUAUCUGAUGGCUUUCAGCCACAAUGCUUGUGGAUCUUCAAUUUACCUCUUCUUCCUCAGCCUCUUCAGCAUGCUCAAAAAACAUUCGAAUGCAUUUCCCUCGUUUGAUUGAAACAAAGCCAUCUCCAACCACAAGCCUGGAGUGAACGCAUUGUUGGCCUCUCAAUGCAUGGGCUUUGACGGAUUUCUCGGAGGAGCGGCCAUUUUUUUUAAAUGCCCUGAGAGUAAUGUAGCAUUCGUGUAAUCCACGAAGGUCUAGGCCAUUGACUUGGGCACUCCCAUCAUUGCCAACACAUUUGAACUCAAGGAUAUCAGAUUCGCCUUCUUCAGUUCCAAUUGCCCACUCGAAAUGAUGAUAUCCAGCAUACUCUGUAAAAUAUUGACUCCAAUCUGCUCGGACGGAAUCAAUGUCCACCUGAGAAAUUGCAAUUAUACUUCUCAUUCUACCUUUCAAUAUAAGCCACUCAGGUAUAUUGGUAAACUAUACUCUUGAAAACCAGUGUUCUUGUAGCAUAGGCUAGGAAUCCAAAAAAUAAGAGGAAAAGGUUAAGAAAGAUAAGGACCUCAUACUGAAAGGCUGUAUCGGCAACACAAAACCAGUCGGUACAUCGUGGUUCUCUUUGCAUUCUUUUAUGUUCCUUAAGCAAUUUAAACUCCCGAAUAACAUUUCUUCUGCAGUCUCUACAAAACUUCUUGCAGUCGAAUCUAUAAUUUAAAAGGUCAGCAUAUAACUUGAUGAACGGGAAAAAAAGUCACAAGACCAUAUAACGAAUAAAAAGAUACAUACGAAACUAAGUAAUGCAUGCAAUGUAGGCAUAUCCUCAAAGUCCUAAAUGCUAAAUCCAUAAAACAAAAAUUCAAUUUAAAAUAUGGUAACUUAAGUGGUAUGAGUUCAUAAUACACCCUAAUUGGAGAAACCAGAUCAUAUCUCAAAACACUUUCUCAACUGAACUUGUGACAGAACAUUCAAGAAUACUGAAUCAGCAAAUAACAAACCUGUAAGUUAGUCUUUCUAUGAAAUCCUCUUCUUUCAUUCUCAAAAGUGACUGUCGACUAUCCUCUUCAAGCGCAGACCAAAAAUCCACUAAAGUAUCACAAGAGAGCCUUGUGACAUGCAAACCACAUGUUUCUCUUGUUCCAUGACCUUUACCAUAACCAGUCAUCCCUUGACUUAUCCAUACCCGACCUCCACCACCACAAGCAUCGGGAUAGAGCAACUCACGUUCCCUCUCUCGAGCACGGGCACUUUCAAACACCUGCUACAGCCAAUAGAUUAGCUAGCUAAACUGAAGCGACCUGAUCGAGAAUAGGGAAACCUUGGAUGAACUUACAGUGUGAAGCACUUUAUAAGAUUUCGCAUACAAAUAGCAGUCAAGAAGUGUGAGUGAUCCAUCGCGUGUUGUGGUGAGGCCGCCCCAUUGAUGAACAGCGGGGUCUUGCAACGCAACGGUACAUCUGCUACUGACCACUGAGUUACAGUCAAUUUGAUCUUUUGAGGCUCCUGAUCUGUUGCACGGAAGGUUUCCUAUCGAUCCUUUUUGUUGCAAGGACCUCCCAUAUGAAACAAUCUGCAAGAAGCUUUCAAGCAGAAGGCCGUUGCAUCUGGAACAGCACAUGUUCUUGCGAGCUUGCUCAAACAGAGCCUGCUUGUCAAUCCUGAGAAGCUCCUGCCUAGUUUUCGGCGACAGCUCACUCCAGAACUGUAUAAGAGUUCAAACAAAUUGGUUUCGAGUGUAUUUAUAACAUCAUGUUUUGUAAAAAAGAACUAUGGGGGAAAACAUGGAAGCACACAUGUCCCCUAUUUGACUCCAUUUUCAGGCCUAUUAAUUAAGAUAUCUACUUCCAAGGAUACAUGGUUUUUUAAAGUAUCAAUGCUCGCAAAAAUAAGGUUUUCGAUUUAUUUGAUGAAUCAAAAAGGGUUUGAUGAGCAUCAUCUAAACUCAAAUAUCAUUUCAGAACACAGACUCGGGUUUGCUAAAUUCUCGAGCAAAUCAACAACACCCAUCACAAGUACUUCGACACUCAAUAAGAAAAAGCUGAAAGGCAACGAUCGAAUCUGAGCUAAAUUCAACGUCAAAAUUCGGAGAAUCCAAUCAAAAAACGAGUUAUAAGAAAAUUAGAGAAGUACCUUGUGCAACUGAUUGUAGCUGACUCCAUCGACGUCCUUGGACCAAAACCCAGAAGAGUAAUGCUCAUUCUUCUGUGCUAAACCCGGCAUCUUUUUACACUCGUCUGUGUUCAUCAAUUGAUGAUUCCUUAACCGCCUCCCAGACGGGCGCAGGCUAAGAAAUCAAACGAGAAGCGAAUCAAAAUUCCGCCGAAUCGGAAAAUGAAAUCACGAAAAAAGGUUCCAAUCGGAAAGCAUUCGAUCGAGAUCCUGUGGUAUGCAGAAUUGGGUAAUCCUGAAAACCCAAUUACAAUAUCUUUCCGGACUACGUCUUCUCGAAUCCCAAAAUGAAAGGAAUCGAAUCAAAAUUGGAUUGGACUGGAUUGGAAAGAGACGCGACACAAGGUUCUUCGGGCGAUGACGAUGAGAUUUGCAGCUAAGUAUAUAUUAUAGGGGAGAGAGAGAGAGGGUAAAAGAGGGGGAGGAUCGUUAAAAAGUUAAAAAAAAAAAAAACCUAAAAUAUGCAGAGAUAUCUAAAAUGUACUUUUCCUUGUUACAGUACCUUUCUUUACAUUUGGGUAAAUGUUUUUAUUUUUAAUGGGCUCAUUAUAAUUUUUUUUGAAAAGAAAUAUAUUAUUAUUACAUAUUUUGAGUCAUAUUAUUACAUAUUUUUGGACCUAAAAAGGAUUAUUAUUUGCUCUCUUUUUUGGUUAAAAUUUUAUUAGUAAUUCUGAGGUACCUUUUUGGCAUAGUAUUGACGUUAAUUUGAGAAAUUGUUUUUUCUGUAAAUAUGUUUUUUUCUUGUAAAUAUUUUAGAUAUGUUAUUUACAUUUGUGGUUAUAGUAUGGUUUGUUUUGGACUUCAGCUUCAUACGGCAAGGGAAUUUGUGUGGGUCAUGUGCGGGUGUCGUCAUUAUGUUUAAUCCUUACUUGUUUUAUUCAUGAUUUCAGAACUGAUAUGUAGUAUGUGAUGAUAUAAGAUACUUAUAAGAUUACUAUAUUGCACAUUAUAAAACAGUAAUCUCACACAAUUUAUUUCUGUUCUUAUCGUGUACUAUGAAAAGUUUAUAUCUCAUUCCAUAUUGAGGCACAUGCCUCUAAGAGUCUAAGUAAUGACGCUUGUCUAUUUAAAACAAAAAUGAAAGAGAUAUAGUAGUAUAAGUAAUAAUCAUAUGCAAAUCAUUGAAAAUGUAAUUAACGACAUAGAAAUCUUCAAUCCACAAUACUCUGACGACUAAUUUUACUAUUUCUUGCAAUAUUGACUCCUCAAAACAGAAACGAAAGAGGGCUUUAAUCCAAUGAAAAAUAUAAGUUACAUUUGAUUAAAUAACAACAACUUAUAAACAAGAAUCAUAGUUAUUUGAACAGAAAAGAGAGCAAAAGAGCCAUAACAAAUUAACAAUAACAACAACAAAAACAAGAGAAAUGGUAAAUUGGUUAUUUAGGAAGUAGACUCAGGACCGGCCGGUUUAAAGUUAAGAAGAGGCUGAAGUGCCUUGAGGCCCUUGACAACGAUGGUCAUGUUUGGUCGGCGAGAAUUAUAUAUAAUCCAGUGUUGUAAUGAGAUACACCCAGCAAUGGAGAAUUAUUCAUUUUGAGUAAAUCAGAACCUUUGAAAAGAAAGACAAAAACUCUUGCAGAGAUCUUUACAUGAAAUAAAACAAGAGAGAUUUUACUGCGUUCAGGAUUACAAUGUUCCAUAACGCCAAACAAACCCAAAAAAUGUAUAAAACCCUUUAGAAGAUGGAAAACCUCAAGCUGUUAUCUGUCGCAAACAAGUUGUACUCUUCACCUACUGUGCUCUUUUUCUCCUUAGUAUUAUUUCCGGUGGGAUCACCAAAAACAUGGUCUCCUGUGAACUGCAAGGAGAAAUCCCCCAAAAUCCUAUCUUUGGAUUGAGCAGGACUAGAUUUACUUACUGUAGACAGAGCAACCGGCCCACCGAAGUGGAAUAAGGAGAAGUUUUCGUCACUAUCAGUUUGCGGACCUCUGCUGCUUGGAGUUUCCGCUGGAUACAUUCGCUUUAAUUUCCCUUCAUCCGCAUCCUUUAGAAAAAUCUGUUCCAAUGGCUCAAGAGUUUGAGCUUGCUCCACAGUGUUCACUGUGUUGGUUUCACCAAACGAAUGGAAAACUGGAACUGGCCCGGAAUUGAAAAAAGUUGCCGAAUGGUUCAAAGGGGCUCCAUACUGCACGCAUAACGGGGUCUCUGCAUUCAGACUGUAUCCAAGAGGACCUGUGUAUACAUAACUGUUAGGCUGAGGGUAUGGCAUUAAUCCGUUGGCAGGAGCUGCAGACCAAGAGACUGGAGCUUGGUGAUAGUAACCCAAUGUUGAAGGAGCUUGGAAGACUGACAACGGUAUACUCUGGUUAAGCAUUUGGGGAAACAUCAUGCUUUGUGGCUGGGACAUAUAGGAACCAGUAUUAACACCAGGUACCAUAUUUUCCAUGUUUUGGCUAGGAACCGUAAAAGGAGUUCCUGAUAAUUUACUUUCCCCGUUUUCAGCUGAAAGGUUAGGCAUAUUCUUCAUCCUUAAAAGGUCUCCUUCAUCGAUUCUCUUCUCUGUCUCUUUCUCUGUCAUCUUACCUUGGCAGUCAGGCAUAUGGUUUUCAGUAUCUACUAGAUCCUCUCUUCCUCUAGAGUGCUGACUGGCAUCUUCAGAAUCAGACGUCGAGGGGGAUUCAGUGCUUCCGUUAUUUGAAGCUGUAUUGCUAUCUCCUUCACUGAUACAUGAAGAGCAAUUAUCUGAACUGGAGGUUCUACUCAUCAUAAGAUCUUUAGAGUCCCUGCUGCUGCCAUUGACGAUGACAUUACUCAACAUUUCUGUAGCCUUGCAUCGAGACAGUGUAUCAGCUGACUUCGCAGCAGAGUUAAGAUCUUCAUUCUCUUCAGCCUUCAAUGUUAA